CCCGGCCUCGAGCCAGACAGUAUCUCCUGAAAGCCUGACAGUUAAGCUGCCAGAUUUCUCAAGAGACUUAUCCGGCCGGCUACAGACCCUUUAGACCCAAUAAUAACGGUUACCACUCGAGCCGCCGGUGUUACCGCGGCGGCUGGCACCGGUCUUGCCCGGCCCUUGCUAUGAAAUGCUUUUUAGGCAUCUCGACAGCCAGAUUUGUAACCUGGCACUCGAGGUUCCCUUAUCGCUGUUGCCAGCAUUGUAAAGUUUUCGCGCCUGCUGCACCCCGUAGGGCCUGGAUUCGUGUCUCAGAAUCCAUCUCCGGGCUCUUGCUCUCACAACCCGUACCCGUCGUAGGCUAGUAGGUACGCUACACCCACUACUACCUGAUAGGCCGCAGACCCAUCCUUAGGCGCCGGAGCUUUAAAUCUCGAUGCAUUCCAGCAAUCGAGACCUAUCGGGUAUUAUACCCAGUUUCCCGGGUUUAUACCCAACCUAAGGGCAGGUUGUCCACGUGUUACUGAGCAGUUCGCCAUGUAUUGCUACAUUCGACUCGCAUGGCUUAGUCGAACCUCGAUAGCAGUA
This 573-nucleotide ribosomal RNA is filed under the name uncultured archaeon. RNAcentral describes it as "partial 16S ribosomal RNA". The record is from RNAcentral.